Molecule: ribosomal RNA, 557 nt
Filed under: uncultured bacterium
Lineage: Bacteria
Description: bacterial SSU rRNA
Rfam family: Bacterial small subunit ribosomal RNA
Source: RNAcentral
ACGGGUGAGUAACGCGUGGGAAUCUACCGUGCCCUGCGGAAUAGCUCCGGGAAACUGGAAUUAAUACCGCAUACGCCCUACGGGGGAAAGAUUUAUCGGGGUAUGAUGAGCCCGCGUUGGAUUAGCUAGUUGGUGGGGUAAAGGCCUACCAAGGCGACGAUCCAUAGCUGGUCUGAGAGGAUGAUCAGCCACACUGGGACUGAGACACGGCCCAAACUCCUACGGGAGGCAGCAGUGGGGAAUAUUGGACAAUGGGCGCAAGCCUGAUCCAGCCAUGCCGCGUGAGUGAUGAAGGCCUUAGGGUUGUAAAGCUCUUUCACCGGUGAAGAUAAUGACGGUAACCGGAGAAGAAGCCCCGGCUAACUUCGUGCCAGCAGCCGCGGUAAUACGAAGGGGGCUAGCGUUGUUCGGAAUUACUGGGCGUAAAGCGCACGUAGGCGGAUAUUUAAGUCAGGGGUGAAAUCCCAGAGCUCAACUCUGGAACUGCCUUUGAUACUGGGUAUCUUGAGUAUGGAAGAGGUAAGUGGAAUUGCGAGUGUAGAGGUGAAAUUCGUAGA